CCAACUCAACAGUUGCUAUGACUCCUCUACUUGAGUAUCUGUACCACAUGGGUAAUGAACACCACAUAAAUAAAAAGGGGGUCAGAAUACGUUCGUAAAAGUUAAUGGUGUAUAAAAUAACGAGGAUAGCUUAAACAUAUUGUUCAUCAAUCACAUAGAUCCAUUCACAACAAUAAUUAAUCAUUAGUAAAGUUAUGUAUGCAAUGCAAUCAAC
This 214-nucleotide long non-coding RNA is filed under the name Lathyrus oleraceus (garden pea). Its description in RNAcentral is "Pisum sativum (pea) long non-coding RNA (PSAT_LNC016680)". The record is from RNAcentral. Lineage: Eukaryota; Viridiplantae; Streptophyta; Magnoliopsida; Fabales; Fabaceae.